UCCCUGUAUUGUAUAACAGCUGUGUGAGACCUCUUUAAUGACCCAUGUGAUGCAUGCUCCAGUAUGCCUGUAGCAAAUUAUUAGUCUUGUCCUUCAAAGCCCAGUGUAGCUCUGACUUUACUGUUUUUUUGUUUUGUUUUUGUUUUUAUUUUUGUUUCAUCUGUAAUUUUAGUUGUUUGUCUUGGCUUCUUCAGUGCUUAUGAUCCAGAUUUCAUUAGUUGUCAUGUAAAAGAUUCCUUCAACGUGUUUACUUUUUGAUUUAUGCCCAAACUUCUGAGUUGUCUUAUCUCCAAAUAUUUAAACUAUCUUUAAUGUUUACCACUGUCACAAGUCAGACAGUUUUAACAACCAGUAUUAUGUGCCUCUCCCUUCUUAUUUUAUAACGGCCUUACUACACAUGUUACUAUAGUUUGUUGUUUCUCACUGGGUAUGUUUUGCUCUCUGGAGCUCUGGCCCCUUAAUCUAUGUCUAGGGAUCUAUAAGUUAUAGUACAAAAUAAUUACUGACAACUAGGGUUGGUGUUAGAGAACACAGAAAACAAAACAGAUUCAGCAAAAGCUGAACUGCAAAGCUAAACACAUAACUGUUUAUGAAUGCCAGAUUUAGUAUAUCCCCUAUGUCUUUAAUUAGACUCAUACUCCUGUACAGUUAUUACCUGUAUGAUCAUUUUCAAUUUUUGUAUUUAGUUCUACAUGCUCAUCUACUUUUUUUUUUUUUUUUUUCUUCAGUGAACUCUAUAACAUUCUGCUGUGGUUGUUUCAGAAUUUUCCUGCUAAAGAAUGUUCUUUCCUUAACUUCUGUGUUCUGUUGCAGAUUUGGAAGGAGGUUUGGAAUUACACCAAAGAUUGGGUUGCCCUGGGUCACAGUGUGUAGAGGGCUGGAGUGGGUCAGCAUCUAUUUUGGAUAAUGGCACCUGAUUUGAACAAUGAGAACUUUCUUAAGAUGGAAUAUAUUAACCUCUGAAAGUGUCUCUUCAGACUGACUGGGAAGCCAUGAGCCAGCAGUGUGCCCUUAUGGACAAGAAGGCCAGUGGUAUCCUGGGAUGCAAUAAGAAGCAUGGACAGGAGGUCAAGUGAGGUUAUGCUUCCUCUCUUCUCUGCACUGGUGAGGCCACAUCUGGAGUACUACAUCCAGUUUUGGGCUUCCCAGUUCAAGAAAAGGACUUUCAGGUAGAGUCCAGCAGAGGGUCACAAAGAUGAAGAGGGGUGUGGAGCACCUCCAGUAUUUGAAAAGGUUGAGAGAUCUGGGACUGUUUAGCCUGGAAAAGAGAAGACAUAGGGAGGAUUUCAUCAACACAUAUAAAUAUUUAAAGCGUGGGUGUCAAACAGCUCAUUUCAGUGGUGCUCAACAGUGAGCAGAAACUAGAACAUAAAAGACUGGAACAUAAAAUCUGAACAUGAGAAAGAACUUCUUUACUUUGGGGUUGACAGUGCACUGGAAUAAGACACUCAGAGACAUUCUGGAGUCUCCUUUUCUGGAGAUAUUCAAGACCCACUGGUCAUUUUCCUGUUCAGUCUAUUGUAUUCAAACUGCUUUAGCAGUGGGUUUGGACUGGUUGAUCUCCAGAGGUCCCUACCAACCCCUACCAUUCUGUGAUUCUUCCCCCACAAACAAGAUUGUUUGGAACCAAUGCCAGAGAUGUUCCAUAA
This is a long non-coding RNA of Coturnix japonica (Japanese quail), 1649 nucleotides long. The record is from Ensembl. Lineage: Eukaryota; Metazoa; Chordata; Aves; Galliformes; Phasianidae.